AUGGGGACCAUGACGAUCGGUGCCAAGUACAAGGCCACGCUCAAGGACCGCGGCACCGGCGGCGUCCUCCGCAUGAGUGAAGAUAAGUUAACAUUUACCCCUAAUGAUCCACGCUCACUAAUGAAGCUCAGUGUCGAUUUUCGGACCAUCAAAGGCCAUAAGUUCAACAAGGUAGAUGGUAGCAAACCAUCACCGGCAUUAUUGAAUCUUUCAAAAGAUUCUGACAAGGGGGGAGGCUAUAUUUUUGAGUUUGAGAAUGUUGGUAACCGUGAUUUUUGCCGCGACUUUGUAGCUAGGGUUUUAGGCAAACAUCAAGGUACUGUGCCUGCUAGACCAAAUGUACCUCCUGAGAUAUCAGCUGUGUCAACUGGUCCAGAACAGCUCAGUUCUGCUGAAAUGGAACGGCGGAUGAAAUUGCUACGAGAAGACAGUGAACUGCAGAAGUUACAUAAGAAGUUUGUGCUUGGCAAUAUUCUCCAAGAGUCUGAAUUUUGGGCAACAAGAAAGAAUUUACUUAACGAUGAAACAAACAAAGCAUCAAAACAAAAGCCAGGUUUCAAAAGUGCCAUGCUAGCUGAUGUUAGGCCAUCGGCUGAUGGACAGACAAACAAGGUUACUUUCAGUCUGACUACUGAGAUUAUCCAUCAGAUUUUCGCAGAAAAGCCAGCUGUGCAUCGGGCAUUUUUAGAUUAUGUCCCGAAGAAGUUGUCAGAAAAGGAUUUUUGGACAAAGUACUGUAGAGCUGAGUAUCUACUUAGGACAAAAAAUACUUUAGCGGCAAAAGCUGAGGCCGCUGAUGAUGAGGAAUUAGCCAUGUUUUUGAAAAACGAUGAUAUACUUGCCAAGGAGGCAAAGCUCAAGAUAAAACGAGUUGAUCCAACAUUAGACAUGGAGGCAGAUGCAGGGGAUGACUACAUCCAUCUUCCGGAUCAUGGGAUUCUCCGUGAUGGCAGCAGAGAGACAACUGAUAUUGAUAGCGAGUUGGCUAGGAGAACACUUUCUCAGGAUCUGAAUCGGCAUGCUGCUGUUGUUCUUGAAGGGAGAUCAACAGAUAUUGAAUCAACUGAUACGAAGACUGUGGCUGAAGCACUUGCACGGUCCAAGAAGGAACCACCUCCUAGCUCUGUUGCUGAUGAUGCUAGUCAUGUGAGAUUGGUAAAGGUGGCCCGCAUGACUGAGAUAGAGGAUCUGCAAGCUCCACGAAGUCUCCCAUAUGCACCACUUUGUAUAAAGGAUCCUCGAGAAUAUUUUGAUUCUCAGCAAGCCAAUGCUCUGAGACCUUUAGGUAGCAACGAUGGAAGAAAGGCCCGCAGCUGCAGCCUGAGCACCGAUGAUGCAUUCCGUCAUUUAAUGGAUCAAAUAUCUUCCGUGAAAAUGAACUGUCCGGUUGUUCAGUCAGAUGUUGCUCUAAAGGUUCUUAAUGAAUUGAAUGAAGGAAUUUCACGUUCACGGAGGCUUAAUCUUAAGAAUCCCCAAGACAGUCUCCUUGGUCGUCUUCCUCACCGAACACGAGAUGAACUUAUGGAUCAUUGGACGGCUAUCCAGGAGUUGCUGUGCCAUUUUUGGUCAUCAUACCCAAUAACAACCACAGUCCUUUGUAAUAAGGUUCAACGGCUUAAGGAUGCAAUGACACAGAUAUAUCAGAAGUUACAGGAUAUAAAGGAAGCAGCACAGCCUGAUGUACGGCAUGAAAUAUCUCAACUCGUAAAGCCCAUGACUCAGGCGCUGGAUGCUGCAUUCAACCAUGAGCAGCAGCAGAAAUCUUCAAAGGCCGGGAGCAAGCCCAAUGGGUUUUGA
RNAcentral lists this ribosomal RNA (1797 nucleotides) under Triticum aestivum (bread wheat). RNAcentral's name for it is "partial small subunit ribosomal RNA". Lineage: Eukaryota; Viridiplantae; Streptophyta; Magnoliopsida; Poales; Poaceae. The record is from RNAcentral.